Molecule: long non-coding RNA, 1215 nt
Organism: Apteryx rowi (Okarito brown kiwi)
Lineage: Eukaryota; Metazoa; Chordata; Aves; Apterygiformes; Apterygidae
Source: Ensembl
GUCACAGCUGAGGUUAACCGUGAGAUAUUUAAUGCUGUGAAGCACAAGAGAAGGAUCUAAAUGCUUGAAAACUGAUGCACCAAAUGUCUCUUCCUGAAGACAAACCUGCAGGAUUUGCUUGGUGUAGGGUCACAAUUUAGGAACAAGAUCCUCAGCUGGGAUAAAGAAACUGAGGCGCAGGCUCCAGGCAUCCUGCAGAAGUGUAACAUGAGGUUAAAAUGGGUGUGAAACAGGCCUCCCAUAUAUACCUUGCACCGUUUCCACCUCUAGGCCGGGGGGACUCUUUGAAACCAGAGCAGCAGCCAUAGGCAAGAGAAAGAGGAGCACCUCUCUUAGAGGAAAUCCUCAGUCUUGGAGAAAGGAGCCAGUCUACGAGUUAGAGGGGACGCUAGGACAGACUGCCUGCCUGCCGAAAGCCGCGCGCAGGAGGCGGAGGCUGCUCCACGGCGCAAAGGAGAUGGAGGGGGUUCAUAUGUCACUUCUGAAUGGAGUCCAAGGUAAUUAAUCCUCCAUGUGGGCCCUCAACGAAGGGAGAUGCUUUCCAUGGCCUGGAACCAGUCAGUGAUAGCUUCACCUCCAGGAGUAGCACGAAAUUUCAGGGGACCCAGCUGAGGGAUUUGACAAAAUCGGUGAGGCUGUGGUUUGUUCUCUCUUGUCAUUCAAUAGUCCUGAGCCGCUUGUUGGUGCGAGGCCUGCCAGCAAUGAUGGAGAGACCUGCUCAGCUCUUGGCAAUGACAUUUUUUGCGCAGCCCCAAACCCAGAGCUCUCCUGUAAUGCUCACUGUUCCCUUCUGCAUCCUACUCUACAGCUGUGGUGCUGCCCGGUCCCAAUGUCUGGACGUGACCUUGUGGGCAGCAGAAGCUGCUUGCAGGUUUUUCAGGCCUCCAGCAAGGUUAUCCAGAAAUGAGAGAACUCUAGCAGAAAAGCUUGCCUCACCAGAUAAAAGCUGGAGGAUUUGGCUUUGUCUCAAAGUCUUGGAUCUAAUUGAAAUACUUCAAGAGCGAACAUGGGCACUGGGUCAACUGUGUGGUCCUUGAGCCUUAGGACCCUUGCAAAAUACAUGCUGUGUGCAGGCUUCGGUGUGCCCUGAAGCCUCUAACCCACUAUUUCCAUGUAAAUUGAACUUGUAAUUUUUGUCAAGAGAGAUUUAAUGAAGAGAAGUCUGCGGCGUUCUUCAGGAAUAAAAAGGAGCAUAUUGGGAAACCUGAACUGGCA